UAAGGAAUAUUGGUCAAUGGACGCAAGUCUGAACCAGCCAUGCCGCGUGCAGGAUGACUGCCCUAUGGGUUGUAAACUGCUUUUAUACGGGAAGAAACCCCUCUACGUGUAGAGGGCUGACGGUACUGUAAGAAUAAGGACCGGCUAACUUCGUGCCAGCAGCCGCGGUAAUACGAAGGGUCCAAGCGUUAUCCGGAUUUAUUGGGUUUAAAGGGUGCGUAGGCGGCUUAUUAAGUCAGUGGUGAAAGCCUGCAGCUUAACUGCAGAACUGCCAUUGAUACUGAUGAGCUUGAGUAUAGUUGAGGUUGGCGGAAUGUGUCAUGUAGCGGUGAAAUGCUUAGAUAUGACACAGAACACCGAUUGCGAAGGCAGCUAGCUAAGCUAUAACUGACGCUGAUGCACGAAAGCGUGGGGAGCAAACAGG
Molecule: ribosomal RNA, 424 nt
Filed under: uncultured bacterium
Lineage: Bacteria
Description: bacterial SSU rRNA
Rfam family: Bacterial small subunit ribosomal RNA
Source: RNAcentral